Molecule: non-coding RNA, 75 nt
Organism: Etheostoma spectabile (orangethroat darter)
Lineage: Eukaryota; Metazoa; Chordata; Actinopteri; Perciformes; Percidae
Source: the annotation of a RefSeq genome assembly
CCCUCGAUAGCUCAGUUGGUAGAGCGGAAGGACUCGUAAUCCUCUAGGUCGCUGGUUCAAAUCCAGCUCGAAGGA